Molecule: ribosomal RNA, 629 nt
Filed under: uncultured bacterium
Lineage: Bacteria
Description: bacterial SSU rRNA
Rfam family: Bacterial small subunit ribosomal RNA
Source: RNAcentral
AGCGAACGUUAGCGGCGGGCCUAACACAUGCAAGUCGAACGAGAAAAUCCCUUCGGGGGUGAGUACAGUGGCGCACGGGUGAGGAACGCGUAGGUAAUCCACCCUCUGGCGGGGGACAACAUUCCGAAAGGAAUGCUAAUACCGCGUAAGACCACGCUCACUACGGUGAAAGUGGUUAAAGGUGCCUCAAAGCACCACCAGAGGACGAGCCUGCGUCCCAUCAGCUUGUUGGUAAGGUAAUGGCUUACCAAGGCUAAGACGGGUAGCUGGUCUGAGAGGAUGAUCAGCCACACUGGCACUGGAACACGGGCCAGACUCCUACGGGAGGCAGCAGUGAGGAAUAUUGGGCAAUGGGCGCAAGCCUGACCCAGCCACGCCGCGUGUGUGAUGAAGGCCUUCGGGUCGUAAAGCACUGUGGGGAGAGACGAAACAGCGCAUCAGGAAAUGGUUGCGCCUUGACGGUACCUCCUUAGCAAGCACCGGCUAACUCUGUGCCAGCAGCCGCGGUAAUACAGAGGGUGCAAACGUUGCUCGGAUUUACUGGGCGUAAAGCGCGUGUAGGCGGACUCGCAAGUCGGUUGUGAAAUCCCUGGGCUCAACCUAGGAACUGCAUCCGAAACUGCUUGUCU